RNAcentral lists this ribosomal RNA (340 nucleotides) under uncultured Glomus. Its description in RNAcentral is "partial 18S ribosomal RNA". The record is from RNAcentral. Lineage: Eukaryota; Fungi; Glomeromycota; Glomeromycetes; Glomerales; Glomeraceae.
UGGCAAAUGCUUUCGCAGUAGUUAGUCUUCAAUAAAUCCAAGAAUUUCACCUCCGACAAUUGAAUACUAAUGCCCCCAACUAUCCCUAUUAAUCAUUACGUCGAUCCUAGAAACCAACAAAAUAGAAUCAAACGUCCUAUUUCAUUAUUCCAUGCUAAUGUAUUCAAGCGUGAGCCUGCUUUAAACACUCUAAUUUUUUCAAAGUAACAGUUCUGUUUCCCUGCAACACCAAAUUAAUGACAUUACAGUUCUUCAGAAAGGAGGAAUCAGCGAAACCAGUGCGUACCAGAGGCACGACCAACCUGCUGACCCCGAAAUUCAACUACGAGCUUUUUAACCU